GCCUACAUGAAGCUGGAGUUACUAGUAAUCGCAGAUCAGAAUGCUGCGGUGAAUGCGUUCCCGGGUCUUGUACACACCGCCCGUCACACCACGGAAGUUGGGGGCGCCCGAAGCCACUUAGCUAACCCUUUUGGGAAGCGAGUGUCGAAGGUGAAAUCAAUAACUGGGGUGAAGUCGUAACAAGGUAAC
RNAcentral lists this ribosomal RNA (189 nucleotides) under uncultured bacterium. RNAcentral's name for it is "partial 16S ribosomal RNA". It matches the Rfam family "Bacterial small subunit ribosomal RNA", at positions 1314 to 1500 of the family's 1533-position model. The record is from RNAcentral.